Unclassified non-coding RNA from Callithrix jacchus (white-tufted-ear marmoset), 287 nucleotides. It matches the Rfam family "Metazoan signal recognition particle RNA". Rfam says of the family: The signal recognition particle (SRP) is a universally conserved ribonucleoprotein. It is involved in the co-translational targeting of proteins to membranes. The eukaryotic SRP consists of a 300-nucleotide 7S RNA and six proteins: SRPs 72, 68, 54, 19, 14, and 9. NCBI's taxonomy places the organism in Eukaryota, Metazoa, Chordata, Mammalia, Primates, Cebidae. The record is from Ensembl.
GCUGGGCGUGGUUGCGCAUGCCUGUAGUCCCAGCUACUUGGGAGGCUGAGGUGGGAGGAUUGCUUGAGCCAGGAGUUCUGGCUGUAGAGCGCUAUGCCAAUCGGGUGUCCUCACUAAGUUUGGCAACAAUAUGGUGACCUCCUGGGAGUGAAGGACCACCAGGUUGCCUAAGGAGGGGUGAAGUGGCCCAGAGCAGGUCAAAACUCCUGUACUAAUCAGUAGUGGGAUCGUGCCUGUGAAUAGCCACUGCACUCCAGCCUGGGCAACAAAGCAAGACCCUGUUUCUU